AACUUUUAGCAAUGGAUCUCUUGGCUCUCGCAUCGAUGAAGAACGCAGCGAAAUGCGAUACGUAAUGUGAAUUGCAGAAUUGAGUGAAUCAUCGAAUCUUUGAACGCACCUUGCGCCCCUUGGCAUUCCGAGGGGCACACCCGUUUGAGUGUCGUGAAAUCCUCAAAAUCCUUUUUGGGCUUACCGAAAAGGAUUUUUGGACUUGGAGGUUUAAUGCUUGCCUUUCACUUGUGAAAGUGAGCUCCUCUCAAAUGAAUUAGUGGGGUCUGCUUUGCCCGAUCCUUGACGUGAUAAGAUGUUUCUACGUUUUGGAUUUUGGCACUGUACUUUGGAUGCCUGCUUCUAACUGUCUCAUGGACAAUGGAUGGUGCUCUGGUCCCCUGCCUUCUAACGUUGGUGGGAGGCUGGACCCACGGAUGAAAACCUUGACCUCAAAUCGGGUGAGACUA
RNAcentral lists this unclassified non-coding RNA (449 nucleotides) under uncultured Russula. RNAcentral describes it as "sequence contains ITS2". The stretch from base 1 to 154 matches the Rfam family "5.8S ribosomal RNA". The record is from RNAcentral. Lineage: Eukaryota; Fungi; Basidiomycota; Agaricomycetes; Russulales; Russulaceae.